Molecule: ribosomal RNA, 468 nt
Filed under: uncultured bacterium
Lineage: Bacteria
Description: partial 16S ribosomal RNA
Rfam family: Bacterial small subunit ribosomal RNA
Source: RNAcentral
GACGAACGCUGGCGGCGUGCUUAACACAUGCAAGUCGAACGGAAAGGCCCUGCUUUUGUGGGGUGCUCGAGUGGCGAACGGGUGAGUAACACGUGAGUAACCUGCCCUUGACUUUGGGAUAACUUCAGGAAACUGGGGCUAAUACCGGAUAGGAGCUCCUGCUGCAUGGUGGGGGUUGGAAAGUUUCGGCGGUUGGGGAUGGACUCGCGGCUUAUCAGCUUGUUGGUGGGGUAGUGGCUUACCAAGGCUUUGACGGGUAGCCGGCCUGAGAGGGUGACCGGCCACAUUGGGACUGAGAUACGGACCAGACUCCUACGGGAGGCAGCAGUGGGGAAUAUUGCACAAUGGGCGGAAGCCUGAUGAAGCAACGCCGCGUGCGGGAUGACGGCCUUCGGGUUGUAAACCGCUUUAGCCUGUGACGAAGCGUGAGUGACGGUAAUGGGUAAAGAAGCACCGGCUAACUACGUG